UGUCAUCGUCGCAAGUUCCCAUCGUCGUCUACAAUCGUGAAGUCAUUGUCAAGCCUAGAUCUCGCAGCCUAUCUUAGUCAUCUCUAUACCUCAAACACCGAAACCGAGCCAACCCAAUUCGUUCAAUUGAGGGCUCCGGUUAACCAGAGGUGGUGGUUCAGCGUGAGUGACAGAAAGUGCUACACCGAGGGAUUUAGUUCAGCAUGUACACUUUAUAAACCACACACCAAUUAACAAAUAGUUUCAAUGGACCUCUGGCCCCUUUACACAAUAUGAAUCACUCAUCAAACUGAAUCAGGUCUCAACCCCCAGAGCAACAUAGAUAAGUUAUCGAGAUCCAUUUUGACAAAAUUGAACAUAUUUAAAGCCUAACCUUGUGGUUGCACCUAGAUUGACUCUAGGGUGCCUACGUACCCUUUUCGAAGGACCCAAGCCACACAUAGUUCUUAAUACAAUAAAUUGCAACACAUUAAAAUCCUCUAAGUGACCAAAAUUCAUGUUAUACCCAUAAGAACUUAAAACUCCUACAUAUUUUGCAACACAUUAAAAUCCUCUAAGUGACGAAAUUCAUGUUAUACCCAUAAGAACUUAAAACUUCGACACAUUUUUCUAAAACCGACUCUAACCAAUCAGUUGAAACUUAAACAAUAAUUUUGAUUACAAGACAAUAUUCAAACCAAUACAUAUGUAUCAAGAAAUUAUAUCAUUACCAAAAAGUUGGAGAUCCAUAAAAAAAUUGUAAAACAACAUUGGCCACGAGAAAACCUUUAUAUCAAUAUAAAUGGGUUAAAUCACACCCUCCUCAAUACUCCACAUUUACAAAUGAACUCAUGACUUAAGAAAACAGUUGUGAAUAGUAUAAAAUCCUUAAAACUUAGAAUAUCUCAAUCCAUUGUCUUAUAAAUAUGAAAAUAUGUAUUAAAAUUCUCACCAAUAAGUACCCAAGAACUCUGGCCACCCACGGUAGACAAAAUGAACAGGGUGGCGGGAACUAUCCUGACACCACAGGUGAAGAACAAAAUCAGCACGUGGAGCCAAAUUCGGGCAAUCACACAAGAAGAACCCCACGAUGUUUGUGCGGGCAUAUUCUGGCAACCGAACAUGUACAUGAUAGGUGCGAGGCAUUCUUGGCAACCACAUGGGUUGAGCAUCCCCAAAGCACGUACGUGCAUAGACUAAUCCGAAGGGAACUGGGGUAAAAUAACCAUGUCCGAAGACCACUAGGGAAGGGUACUUAUGAUGGGUUUGAAAACCGUUACCUAAAACUUUAACACCAUUUCCUCCAAUCCAAACCCAAGUAAAACCUAGCUACUCAAGCCGUUUCUAGAUUCGUAAACCAAGUUUUUCUCAAAUCUUUCGCAACUCAAGUAAAGCCCAAAAUGUUAAUAGUAUGAAAUCAAACUCUUAUUGAAAUCCAAUACCACAAAUGAAAUCCGAAAACCAUUAAUCUUAAUUAAUGAACCAAAAAGCAUUCUAGAUCAUAUCUCAAAUCAAAUCUCAAAUAUAACUUCAAAUGUAGUUUCAAUACGCCAUGAAAUCAUAACAAGAGUCAACAAAGCUUUCCAAUGAUAUUUACGUAAAAGCCCCAUAAACCUUAAUGGUAGCAAAAGCAAAUAUUCAUAACACACUUCAUAAGUCAUAAACAAGAACACACCAAAACCUUAUAAAAAAUCACGCAGUGAAACGAAUAAUAAUCAAAUAAAAGUUUGUAAUCAACUCAAGUAUUAAAUCAAAACAUCAUACUCUAAUCACAAAGCCUUAAGAGUCUCAAAACAAUUCCCACUGAAACAACAAUACAAAAUAUAGAUAUAAGAGCAAACAAAUGAAUCAUGAAUGUUUCCAAUAAAUUCAUAAGUAUUCCAAAGCAUUUCCCAAACCAAAACAUAAACUUAAUCAAAAUUAUGCACUUCGAUACAAGCACAAAUUAUAUAGGUCCUAAAAAAUUCAAUUAUAAAAACCAUUUGAAAACAUAUGUCUAAUAGCAGACACUUCCAAAUCAAUUGCUCCUGACCGAGCCGAUGAGUCCAAACAUCUAGGUCAACUGGGCCAGCGAGAUCCACAACCUCUAAUCUCCGAUUCGAAUGUUCUAAUAGGUCCAGUAAGGUCCAUUAAUUAUGUCCCAAAAGUUUCAUCACGAUCCGACGAUUGAAUCAUCGUCGACCAUCGACAAACUUAACCCCAACAUCGUUGAUUCGAGAUAUCCAAAUCUGUGAUUCUAAAUCCGCAAGCUCCCACACCCUCGUGGAAAUACGGGGAACAACAUAUCUGAAUAUGGGACCGAUCAGACCAUUCCAUCAUCUUAUUAUUUUUUAGAUGGAUACUCUAGGUAUAAUUAGAUUCCGAUUGCACCUGAAGAUCAGGAAAAGACAACAUUCACAUGCCCAUUCGGUAAUUUUGCAUAAAGGCGCAUGCCCUUUGGAUUAUGUAAUGACCCCGCUACCUUUCAACGUUGCAUGAUGAGUAUAUUUUCUAACAUGGUGGAGUGCUUCAUUGAGGUAUUCAUGGAUUGGAUGACUUUUCUAUUUUUGGCUCAUCCUUUGAUUCUUGUUUAUAUAAUUUGGCAUUAGUUUUGAAAAUAUGUGAAGAAACAAACUUGGUUUUGAAUUGGGAGAAGUGUCAUUUUAUGGUGGAAGAAGGGAAAGUCAUGGGGCAAAAAAUUUCAGCUAAAGGCAUAGAGGUUGAUAAGGCAAAAAUUGAUACCAUAGAGAAAUUGCCACCGCCCACUACAGUAAAAGGGAUCCGAAGCUUUUUGGGUCAUGUUGGAUUCUAUCGGCGGUUUAUCAAAGAUUUUUCCAAAAUCACGAAGCCGUUGUGCAAUCUCCAUCUCAAAGAUGUCGAAUUUGAUUUUGAUUUGAAGUGUUUGGAGGCAUUUAAUAUCUUGAAGGAGAAGCUUACUUCUACACCUAUCAUUGUCGCACCAGAUUAGGACUUACCCUCCCUUUGAGAUUAUGUGUGAUGCUAGUGACUAUGCGGUGGUCAAAGUAGAAAUAAAUUACUUCAUGUAAUCUAUUAUGUCAGCCGUACUUUGAAUGAUGCCUAGCUGAAUUAUACCACCACGGAGAAAGAAUUGUUAGCAAUAAUUUUUUCCUUGGAUAAAUUUUGAUCCUACUUGAUUGGAGCAAAUGUGAUAGUGUAUACCGAUCCCUCAGCUUUAAAGUAUUUACUUUCAAAGAAGGAUGCAAAACCAAGAGUAAUCUGCUGGUUAUUGUUGCUCCAAGAAUUCGAUUUGGAAAUUCGAGACAAAAAGGGAUUUGAAGAUGUGGUGGUUGACCAUCUUUCGCUGCUGGUCUGUCAGGCAGAGGAAGGUGAUAAUGCCGCACCCAUUAUGGAGAUUUUUCCUGAUGAACAGUUGUAUGCUAUUCGAUCUUCUGAAGGUCCCUGGUAUGCUGACUUUGUGAAUUAUUUAGCUAGUAGUAUCAUUCCAGCUGAUUUAUCAUUUCAUCAGAAGAAGAAGUUUCUCCUUGGUUAAACAUUAUUAUUGGGAUGAUCCGUAUUUGUGGGUCAUGUCAUCUUAUGUCACUUAUCCCUUGGGCCUAAUAGCCUUUUGGGCUAUUUUGUCAUUUUCCUUUUAAAUCAUAUUUAAAAGUUCAAUCCAAUAUUUCUAUAUGUCAAUAUUAAUUCCAUAAUCAAUCUUUUAAUUAUAAUUUAACUAUUAAAUUAUAAUUAUAGUCUUAUUUAAUUGACCUAGUUGAACUAUUUGACUUUGGUCAAUUGCUCCGGUCAACAUGUUGACUUUUGACUGUUGACUUUGACAUUUGAUUAUCAACCAUUGACUUGUGUCUCCUCAUUUCAUUUCUACUCAUUUGUACCUCUAAUCACAUUCUUUGGGUGUGCAGAUCCGUAGGUUCCCUUUAGCAAGGUAGUGGGUUGACUCAACUCCUCAAAGAUAAUAUAUGAGUUAAAUUCCACAAUUUAAUUCUUCCUAUUAAUAAAGGUUAAUUGAAACCUUUUAGGACAUCCACAAACCAUGGUUGUCGCCUAGCAGCAAGUCAUGGUUAUCCGAGCUAAAUGAGACGUUGUGAAAGAUCCUAUUCAAAUUGGAAUGACCGUGCAAUUCAAUCCUUCUCUUAUGUCAAUACUCUUUAUUCACAUUAUUAGAUCAUGGAAUCUGAUUGUCAAUAUCCUAAUGUGAAUCAUUCCUUUUAUAUGAUUAUCCUUUUAAGAUUUGAAGACUUUUUCUUUCAAGUCUUAUCCACUACUCUACGCAGAGAUUUGACCAAUCAUAUCUCGGAGUAUUCUCUCUCCUUUACUGAGAGUAGAGAUUCCUUGUUGUAUGUUCAUUUGCUUCCAUGACUCUAUUGAGAAUCCUGAUGAGAACCUUUAAGCUAUGCCUAAUUCAACAUGACCGUAUAGUGCCCUCAAAGAUUAAUAACAUAGCCACAAAACAUCUAUGAUGCCUCAGGUCUAAGGAUUAGUUUGCACCAUUGCAAUUUAUGAGUUCCAACUUGACAUGUGAGUAAAGACUUUCAUGCUGUAACUCAUGUGUUGGAUCGCAUUCGGUGUACUUGUUCUUCUACAAACACCUACACACAUGUCGAUGUGUGUCCACACUUAAUGGCUUGAGACCUUGCUAUUCCCUACAUAUAAAGACGAUACUGUGUGUACUGGUCUUUGCGGAAUAUUAAAGCCCAAUCAAUAUUUCUAUGAUCGGGAACAUAUUAAGGAUUUAGGGAUGAUGAGAAGUCUCCAUGUAUGCAAUCUCAUUACAUAGCUCUCAUAUCCACUUGUGUAUUCCUUGGACUAUGGUUGUUCUACAUAUGGAAAGAUAAUAUAAGAUGAUUUAAUGUAUAAAACAACCUUUCUUGCCCAUUGAUAACAUAAUAUGUCUUUUAUCAAAUAUGUCCUUAACUCUAACCAUUACAUAAUUAGUUGGCUUUAAGGGCAAAUUUCUAAUACGGCAUUGCCACACAUUGGCAUGUGGGGGGCAUUUUGGUGCCUCCAAAACUUCAGCCAAUGUAUUGCAAUCCUGAUUUUUCUGGCCAACUUUGUUCAAGGAUGCCUAUGCAUUUGUAGUUGCCUAUGAUCGAUGCCAACGCAUUGGAAACAUUUCUAGCAGAAAAUCAGGACUAGCAAAAGAUAGGUUUGAGUUAGUUUGAUAGAUUAAUAUCUUGCAUAUAUAAUCUAUCUAUAUUUGCUUUGUUUUUGUAUGAACUUGGUUAGUUUAAUGUGUUUAGUGAAGAUUUUGUAGGCAUUUGUUCCUAGUGAGGGAUUGGAACCAAAACUAUGAUUUUGGAAGCUUAAGGGACCGAAAGGGGGAGAUUUAUCAACUCAACAAAAUCUCAGGAACUCACUCUAUCAUUUUAUCAAACACCUGGAGUGCAUCUGUGCAAGUGUCAAAUUAUAACCACAACUGGUCUCAAUGACCAGCGCUAGAAAGAUAGAGUUAGAGGGGUUUACCGUUAAUUUUGGAAACUAAAGUCAUUUGCAGUUGGUAAUUUUGGUUGAGCAGUGGGCUGCAUUGGAUUGGCUGAGAGUUGAAACAAAUAUUCUUCUAUUUAGCUAUCUGUAUGAGUUGGAAAAGAAGAAUUCAGUAGGUGCAACACAAAGAGAACCUUGAAAGCCGAGUUGAAGAAAUUCAUUAAUAACUCACCGUUGUAAUUGGAAUCAAGAUCCAGUUCUAAUAUGCAAAUUGGAGUUGUAGUGAUUGUAGGUUGAAGUGAUUGAACAGAGAGCACAUGGGCAACAAAGUCAAGAUAAGCCCUCUUGACAACCCUCAGGUUAAGGAUUUGUUGCAUUGCCAUGGCACCACAGUGGGGGACCCGUCAACAAGUUCAUCUUCCAUUAGCUCUUCCGGAG
RNAcentral lists this long non-coding RNA (5796 nucleotides) under Prunus persica (peach). RNAcentral's name for it is "long non-coding RNA (PPER_LNC004604)". The record is from RNAcentral. Lineage: Eukaryota; Viridiplantae; Streptophyta; Magnoliopsida; Rosales; Rosaceae.